Molecule: ribosomal RNA, 253 nt
Filed under: uncultured bacterium
Lineage: Bacteria
Description: partial 16S ribosomal RNA
Rfam family: Bacterial small subunit ribosomal RNA
Source: RNAcentral
UACGGGGGGUGCGAGCGUUGUCCGGAAUCACUGGGCGUAAAGGGCGCGUAGGCGGUUUGGUAAGGCUGUGGUGAAAGCCCGGGGCUCAACCCCGGGUCUGCCAUGGCGACUGUCAGACUGGAGGGCUCGAGAGGCAGACGGAAUUCCGGGUGUAGCGGUGGAAUGCGUAGAGAUCCGGAAGAAGACCGGUGGCGAAGGCGGUCUGCUGGCGAGUCCCUGACGCUGAGGCGCGACAGCGUGGGGAGCAAACAGG